Molecule: ribosomal RNA, 468 nt
Filed under: uncultured bacterium
Lineage: Bacteria
Description: partial 16S ribosomal RNA
Rfam family: Bacterial small subunit ribosomal RNA
Source: RNAcentral
GACGAACGCUGGCGGCGUGCUUAACACGUGCAAGUCGAACGGAAAGGCCCUGCUUUUGUGGGGUGCUCGAGUGGCGAACGGGUGAGUAACACGUGAGUAACCUGCCCUUGACUUUGGGAUAACUUCAGGAAACUGGGGCUAAUACCGGAUAGGAGCUCCUGCUGCAUGGUGGGGGUUGGAAAGUUUCGGCGGUUGGGGAUGGACUCGCGGCUUAUCAGCUUGUUGGUGGGGUAGUGGCUUACCAAGGCUUUGACGGGUAGCCGGCCUGAGAGGGUGACCGGCCACAUUGGGACUGAGAUACGGCCCAGACUCCUACGGGAGGCAGCAGUGGGGAAUAUUGCACAAUGGGCGGAAGCCUGAUGCAGCAACGCCGCGUGCGGGAUGACGGCCUUCGGGUUGUAAACCACUUUCGCCUGUGACGAAGCGUGAGUGACGGUAAUGGGUAAAGAAGCACCGGCUAACUACGUG